RNAcentral lists this ribosomal RNA (450 nucleotides) under uncultured bacterium. Its description in RNAcentral is "bacterial SSU rRNA". It matches the Rfam family "Bacterial small subunit ribosomal RNA", at positions 917 to 1382 of the family's 1533-position model. The record is from RNAcentral.
GGGCCCGCACAAGCAGCGGAGCGUGUGGUUUAAUUCGAGGCUACACGAAGAACCUUACCUGGGUUUGACAUAGCGGUGGUAGUGAACCGAAAGGGGAACGACCUUCGGGAGCCGUUACAGGUGCUGCAUGGCUGUCGUCAGCUCGUGCCGUGAGGUGUUCGGUUAAGUCCGCAAACGAGCGCAACCCUCGGCGUUAGUUACAAGUGUCUAACGCGACUGCCCGUGAGAAACGGGAGGAAGGUGGGGAUGACGUCAAGUCAGCAUGGCCUUUAUAUCCAGGGCUACACACACGCUACAAUGGGCGGUACAAUAGGUUGCCAAGCCGCGAGGUGGAGCCAAUCCUAAAAGCCGUUCGUAGUUCGGAUUGCAGGCUGCAACUCGCCUGCAUGAAGUCGGAGUUGCUAGUAACCGCGCGUCAGCCAUAGUGCGGUGAAUACGUUCCCGGGCCUU